CCUACGGGAGACAGCAGUGAGGAAUAUUGGUCAAUGGGCUUACGCCUGAACCAGCCAAGUCGCGUGAGGGAAGACUGCCCUAUGGGUUGUAAACCUCUUUUGUCAGGGAGCAAUUGGCGCUACGUGUAGCGUUAUCGAGAGUACCUGAAGAAAAAGCAUCGGCUAACUCCGUGCCAGCAGCCGCGUUAAUACGGAGGAUGCGAGCGUUAUCCGGAUUUUUUGGGUUUAAAGGGUGCGUAGGCGGAAUGCCAAGUCAGCGGUAAAAUCGCGGGGCUCAACCUCGCUCCGCCGUUGAAACUGGCGUUCUUGAGUGGGCGUGAAGUAUGCGGAAUGCGUGGUGUAGCGGUGAAAUGCAUAGAUAUCACGCAGAACUCCGAUUGCGAAGGCAGCAUACCGGCGCCCAACUGACGCUGAAGCACGAAAGCGUGGGUAUCGAACAGGAUUAGAUACCCUUGUAGUC
RNAcentral lists this ribosomal RNA (460 nucleotides) under uncultured bacterium. RNAcentral's name for it is "partial 16S ribosomal RNA". It matches the Rfam family "Bacterial small subunit ribosomal RNA", at positions 338 to 795 of the family's 1533-position model. The record is from RNAcentral.